GACGAACGCUGGCGGCGUGCUUAACACAUGCAAGUCGAACGGAAAGGCCCUGCUUUUGUGGGGUGCUCGAGUGGCGAAAGGGUGAGUAACACGUGAGUAACCUGCCCUUUACUUUGGGAUAACUUCAGUAAACUGGGGCUGAUACCGGAUAGGAGCUCCUGCUGCAUGGUAGGGGUUGGAAAGUUUCGGCGGUUGGGGAUGGACUCGCGGCUUAUCAGCUUGUUGGUGGGGUAGUGGCUUACCAAGGCUUUGACGGGUAGCCGGCCUGAGAGGGUGACCGGCCACAUGGGGACUGAGAUACGGCCCAGACUACUACGGGAGGCAGCAGUGGGGAAUAUUGCACAAUGGGCGGAAGCCGGAUGCAGCAACGCCGCGUGCGGGAUGACGGCCUUCGGGUUGUAAACCGCUUUCGCCUGUGACGAAGCGUGAGUGACGGUAAUGGGUAAAUAAGCACCGGCUAACUACGUG
RNAcentral lists this ribosomal RNA (468 nucleotides) under uncultured bacterium. RNAcentral describes it as "partial 16S ribosomal RNA". It matches the Rfam family "Bacterial small subunit ribosomal RNA", at positions 28 to 507 of the family's 1533-position model. The record is from RNAcentral.